CCGGAAACCUGCACGUCCCCGCUGAAGUCAGCCAUGAGAUGGGGAGGGGGUGCAGGCGGGGAGCACCUCGAGUGUCCCAUUCCUGGAGAGAGGGUGCAGGCACACGUGGGUGCUGUGUGGGUGCAUGCAUCCAUGGGGCACUGGUGCUGUGUGGGUGCUGUGUGGGUGCAUGCAUCCAUGGGGCUUUCCCCCUUUUGCAGUGGUGAAUUCUGGCAAAGACUCAGCCCAUCUUUUGCACACACAGAGCUGGAGCUGGAGCUCCGAAAAUCACAAAACCAUGACAGCUGGCUGGGGGCAGAGCCCCAAAUUUAUGGCCCUAACACAGACCCCUCCCUCACCCAGGCACUGUGGGGUCACGGUGUCCCUGCAUCUGGGUGGGACAGGAGCACUGGGGUGUUGGCCCCAAGGGAAGGGGAUGUCCUUGUGUCACCACCGUCCCUUUCCCCUUGAGGACACGGGAUCCCGAUGUGGCUGCAGAAGAGGAUGGUUAGCAAGCAGCCCCCGUGUUUACAUAGGGUGACUCGCAACCCCCCCGCACACCGCCCUCCCCCUCGGUGGCAGCUCCUCUUGAGGUUUAAGGUGACAUCCUGCCUGCCGUGCCAUCCCCCCCCCCGGGCCUCAUGGGGCAGGGAAAAGAAUGCCAAUUUUGCUUUUGAAAGCCACCAAGAGAGGGAAAGCAGCGAGAUAGAAAUGGGGGGAACGUCCUCCUGUUGGAGCAGGUGGAACAUUUUGCAUCAGUGCUCUGUUUUGGGGGCAAUGGGAUGUGUGGCAAUGGGAUCAGACCCAAGCACUGGAGACUGCCCCAAGCAUCCCAUCCACGCUACCCACAGCCCUGGGCACCCCCAGCAGCAUCACCAUAUGGAGAUAGGGGCAGGAGGGUGCCUGCAUCCCACCUGCUUUCCCUGGGGGAUGCUAUGGGGACAGGGAUGGGAUGGGGAUGGGGAGAGGAUGAGGAUUGGGUGGAGAUAGGAUGGGGUGAGGGUGAGGAUGGGGUGAGGAUGAGGAUAAGGGUGGUGAUGGGGAUGAGAUGGGGAUGGGAUGGAUGUGGGAUGGGAUGAGAUGAGGAUGGGGAUGGCGGUGAGGAUGAGAUGGGCAUGGGGAUGGAGAGGGGGUGAGGAUGGGGUGAGGAUGAGGAUGGGGAUGAGGAUAAGGGUGGAGAUGGGGAUGGAAUGGGAUGAGGAUGGGGAUGGGGAUGGGAUGAGGAUGGGGAUGGUGAUGGGAUGAGGAUGGAGAUGAGAUGGGGAUGGGAUGGGGAGAGAUGAGGAUGGGGAUGGAAGUGAGGAUGAGAUGGGGAUGGGGAUAGGGAUGAGGAUAAGGGUGGUGAUGGGGAUGAGAUGGGGAUGGGGAUGGGGACAGGGAUGAGGAUAAGGGUGGUGAUGGGGAUGAGAUGGGGAUGGGAUGGGAUGGGGAUGGGGAUGAGAUGGGGAUGGGAUGGGAUCAGAUGAGGAUGGGGAUGGCAGUGAGGCUGAGAUGGGGAUGGGAUGGGGAUGGGAUGGGGAUGGGAUGGGGAUGGGAGCCCCCCUGUCCCCGUGCAUUGAUGCAGGAGCACAGUUCCCCUGCACAUGGGGCCGGGGAAAGCCGUUCACUUGGCACCCGCUUGCUCCGCGCACGCAGUGUGAUGCAGAGAUAAGAUAAAGCCGUCUGUCGGCUGCCAAGUUAAACUGAGGUCACAGCAAACCCCGUGCCCCCGCCGUGCCGGGCGACACGCACGCAGCGGUGCAUUCUUUAAUUUCAGGCAAAUUUCUGUCCUUCAACUCUGGGUUGAUGGAAUGGCAUCGCUUUGAACAGCACGGAGCUCCAAGCAGAGCUGGUAUCGGGGCAGAGGGUUCUGUGCUGCUUUUUGCCUAAUACUACGCUGUGAGCAAAGUGCUGCGUGUCAUACAACCAUCCCUCCGUAGGAGAGCUCUGGGGCAAAAGGUUUGGGUUUAUGUCAUGGGGUUGGUGCUCCCCCAAGGCACUCAAUCCUGAG
RNAcentral lists this long non-coding RNA (1969 nucleotides) under Numida meleagris (helmeted guineafowl). RNAcentral's name for it is "lncRNA (ENSNMEG00000002817.1)". The record is from RNAcentral. Lineage: Eukaryota; Metazoa; Chordata; Aves; Galliformes; Numididae.